This 257-nucleotide ribosomal RNA is filed under the name uncultured Pseudomonas sp. RNAcentral's name for it is "partial 16S ribosomal RNA". It matches the Rfam family "Bacterial small subunit ribosomal RNA", at positions 96 to 354 of the family's 1533-position model. The record is from RNAcentral. Lineage: Bacteria; Pseudomonadati; Pseudomonadota; Gammaproteobacteria; Pseudomonadales; Pseudomonadaceae.
CGGCGGACGGGUGAGUAAUGCCUAGGAAUCUGCCUGGUAGUGGGGGACGAACGUUUCGAAAGGAACGCUAAUACCGCAUACGUCCUACGGGAGAAAGCAGGGACCUUCGGGCCUUGCGCUAUCAGAUGAGCCUAGGUCGGAUUAGCUAGUUGGUGAGGUAAUGGCUCACCAAGGCGACGAUCCGUAACUGGUCUGAGAGGAUGAUCAGUCACACUGGAACUGAGACACGGUCCAGACUCCUACGGGAGGCAGCAGAC